RNAcentral lists this transfer RNA (74 nucleotides) under Capsicum annuum. It matches the Rfam family "tRNA". From Rfam's summary of the family: Transfer RNA (tRNA) molecules are approximately 80 nucleotides in length. Their secondary structure includes four short double-helical elements and three loops (D, anti-codon, and T loops). Lineage: Eukaryota; Viridiplantae; Streptophyta; Magnoliopsida; Solanales; Solanaceae. The record is from Rfam by way of RNAcentral.
CGUUUUGUAGUCCAAUGGUUAGGAUAAUUGCCUUCCAAGCAAUAAUAGACCCCGGUUCGACUCCCGGCAGACGC